UGAAGAAAAAGUGUAAGAUUUCAAGGAAUUAAGCAAUCAAAGGGUGGGUUAACCUGUAGAUAGCAGACAUCGUCGAGAACUAUAGUUGGCCAUACUACUUAAAAAACUGUGGUGAGCUGCAAAGAUUUAUGGACAGAAGAUCAAUGGAAGAAAGUAAUGGUUGUGCGUAGUAAGAGAAGAAUGUGAGAGGGUAUGAGGGAGGCGGUGUAAAAGAGUUUUAUGGAGAAAAUCAAAUAAUUUUAUUUUUUAUUUAUUUCAAUAUUAAAAAUUAUUAAUAUUUAUUUUUAA
Molecule: non-coding RNA, 288 nt
Organism: Theobroma cacao (cacao)
Lineage: Eukaryota; Viridiplantae; Streptophyta; Magnoliopsida; Malvales; Malvaceae
Source: RefSeq, a predicted model, not a curated record